This 149-nucleotide microRNA precursor is filed under the name Gossypium arboreum. RNAcentral's name for it is "MIR7502 microRNA precursor family". It matches the Rfam family "MIR7502 microRNA precursor family". Lineage: Eukaryota; Viridiplantae; Streptophyta; Magnoliopsida; Malvales; Malvaceae. The record is from Rfam by way of RNAcentral.
UGUUAAAAGUUUCAUCAAUGUCUACUAUUAAAAUUUAAUGUGGCUAAUAAAAUAAUUAGAUAGUUACAUGUGUUGUGUCACAUGUACAUCAUGCUAACAUAGGUACAAGGACCCGUUAUUAACAUUAAAUAUAAAUGAAAUUGUCAAUA